Molecule: long non-coding RNA, 5415 nt
Organism: Pongo pygmaeus (Bornean orangutan)
Lineage: Eukaryota; Metazoa; Chordata; Mammalia; Primates; Hominidae
Exons: 6
Source: RefSeq, a predicted model, not a curated record
AGUGUUGGAUGUGUGGUGGUAGCCUCACUGCCUUGAGACAGGGUUUGCUUGGGCUGAUCGGGGGUGGAGGCAGGAGGAGUCAUGGAUAGUUUCGGGGUCUAGGUGCAUUUGUGGCAGUGGUAUGAGGUGGCAAGACAAAGGGGGUCAAUGACAUGAAGAGUAUGCCACACAAUAUGGAGCAUUGGGAUAGAGGAUGUGAGGUGGGGUUCCUGGGAUUUGUGCAGAAGAAAACCUGACAUCCAUUUCUUGAGCAAGUUGCUUAACUCUGCGCAGCAUUUUCAUCUGUAACAUAAUAUCUACCUUAGAGGAUUCUUGGGCACAGCCAGUGAGCUAAGAGAUACAAAAGUGCUUGCAAGCCGUGAAGGGCUACAAGAAAGGUCCAGCUCAUCGGGUCCAUGGGCUGAGUAGGAGUGCAGGGCUACAAACCUGGGAAGACACAGAGAACUGGAAGUGGUAAAGGAAGGUGACCUAUUGUCUCUCUGGAUGGGAUGGUUUGGGAAUGGUGAUGCUAGAUCACCACUGUACAUGGUAAAGAUGACCCCUUUGUGCCAGGACUGGGGUGAAGAGAUGAGCCUUUUACUCACAUGUUCGCUGAGAGGUGUUGCUGGGAGCCAGGCAGACUGACCACGGCUGUGGAAUGUCCUGGAGAGACAGGUGCCGGGUGAUAAGUGCUGACCUGCACAGACAGAAAAGACAGCCAAGCAGAACCAGUGAAUGCCACAACCCAGGCCCACAGCAAACAGAGCAGCUACACAGAAAGACCUGACACAGCUGAAAACCAACAGCCAUGCCCAGUGCCACCCAUUGAUAGAAGAGGAAACAAUAAUGAUAAAAUGAAAAAAGCUCCUGGAAGGCCAGGCUCAGUGGCUCUCAUGCCUAUAAACCUAAUACUUUGGGAGGCUGAGAUGGGAGGAUCGCUUGAACCCAAGAAUUCUAGACCAGCCUGGGAAACAUAGUGAGACCCCAUCUCUUUCAAAAAAAUUAGCUGGGUGCGAUGGCAGGUGCCUGUCAUUCCAGCUACUCAGGAGGCUGAGAUGGGAGAUUCGCUUGAGCCUUGGAGGUCAAGGUUACAGUGAGCCAUGACUGUGCCACUGCACUCCAACCUGGGUGAAAGAGUGAGACCCUAUCUCAAAAAAAAAAAGUUCCUGUAAACUGCCUACUAUACUAGGGCUUUGGCAAACAUAUUGCCUUGCUUAUUUCCUUCUGAGCACGUAUCACAGAUUCUAAGUGUUUCCUUACUAGACUGUAAAUUCCAUGAGGGCAGGGACUAUGUCAGUCUGGUUCAUCAUUGUAUUUCUGCAUGCUCAAUAUGUACUUGUAGCUUAAAGAACAAAGGAAUGAGUGAAGGAAUGAAUGAAAAGGUCUUCUUACCUAGUACACCAAGGAUAAUGAAACCUUCUCCAUGCCAUCCAGAGUAAAUACAUUCAUUCUGUUUUCAGUCAUCUACUGAUAAAUGAUGGUAACUCUGUGUGUGCCUUUUUAGGACUAUGCUUUGGUGGGUACAACUAUUGUUUGUGUAUUUGUGUUUAUGUGGGUGUGAGUGCAUUAUUAAAUACAUAUGUCCCUUUGUUUUGAGCAAACGUGUAUGUUUGCUCAAGGCCCAUGGCAAUUUAAUGUACAUGUGUGAUGGCAUUAGUCCAUUGCAAAUCUUGUUUUGUUCACACAUGUGGUCUACGGAUUGAUGUGUGUAUGCUGCAUGUGCUGCAUGGGAUUGCAGACACAAUUGUAUAAGGGAUUGUGAUUAUGAGAUUCUGUGUGUAUGUAUGUGAACUCUAGAGGUGUGUACAGGUAUGCCCACCACGUAAUUUUGUACAUGUGUCUAUGUCAAUGAUUGUGUAAAUGUAUGUGUGGUCAUGUAUGUAAUUGUGACAGUCCAAAGAUCAAGUUGUAGGAUCAAAAAACCACUUUAGUCAAAUAAUAAGUGUUGGUGAGGAGGUAUAAAAGUGGAAACCCUCAUACAUUGCUGGUUGGAAUGUCAAAUGGUACAGCCUCUUUGCAGAACAGUCUGGCAAUUCCUAAUAUGAUUAAACAUAGGAUUACCAUAUGAUCCAGUAAACCCAUUUCUAGUGUAUGCUCAAAAGAAAUGAAAACAUAUUCCACACAAAAACUUAUAGGCAAAUGUUUCAGCAGCAUUAUUCAUAAUAACCCAAAGAGGGAAACAACUCAAAUGUCUACUCAUUAAUGAGUGGAUAAACAAAAUAUGGUGUAACCAUACAAUGAAAUAUUAUUCAGCCAUAAAGAAGAAUGAAGUAUUGAUACAUAAGAGAACAUGGAUGAACCUUGAAAACAUUAUGCUAAGUGAAAGAAGCCAGACACAAAAGACCACAUAUUAUUUGAUUCCAUUUAUAUGAAACGUCCAGAAUAAGUCAAUCUACAGAUAGAGAAAACAGAUGAUCAUUUCCAAGGGUUGGGAUGAUGGGGAAUAUGAGGUGAUAGCUAAACAGCACAAGGUUUCUUUUCGAAGUGAUAGAAUAUCCUAAAAUUGUAAUAGUAAUGGCUAUACAUCUGUGAAUAUACUAAAAACCACUGAGUUAUACACCUUAAAUGGGUGAAUUGUAUGGUAGGUGAAUGAUAUCUCAAUAAUAAAGCAUUAAGAAGAACAAAACCGUUCCACAAUCACCCUCCUGAGGAACUCUUAGCACUGCAUAAAGUGUUCUGAGUUUGUAAUCAGAUGUUGUCAUACUGGUUCCUUCAAACAGACAUGACAAGGAGCUGGCUUUGGGCUAGGCUGCUCCUUGCCUAUGACUGGGGAAGGUUCAACCCCUACAGGGCUUAUGUACGUGGAAACUGUUGGAACACUGAUUAAACGGGAUGGACUUCACUUAACACUCUUGGAUUUCCAAUAUUAUGUUUGAGUAAAAGAACUGCUAUCCACAAACACCAUUAAUCCUUUAGGGAGGCAGAAAAGGCCAGAAUGCAAAGCCAUCUUUUCAUUACACUAGGGUCUGUCUUUUUACUUCUCUGGGCCUUUAUCUGGGGAGGGCGUGUUUCCCCCACUUGGAACAGUGAGCCUGGCCGGGACAGUAAUCUGUGGGCUUGUGAUGGCAUUAUUUCUAAUAGGGAAUGGGAAAGGAUGUUAGCUUCUCAGGUUUUAAAGUGUCCUGGAGGAGAAGAGAAAGGACGACAUGAGAAGGAGGAGGAAGGAGACAGUGAAGAAGAGGGGUGAGGGGGAGAUAGUGAAAGACCCUGAGAAUGGCAUAGGGUAAAACUGGGACAGAGAUACUGUGGGAGAACGACAGCUGCAGAGGGACAAAGGAAGGAAGGAAGGAGAAGAGAGGGAGAUAAAAACAGUUUGGAGAAACUCUCACAAUACAUUCAUAAGAAGACAAGGAACCCAAUAAAAAUGGGCAACAGAUACCACAGAAGAUGAUAUAUUGAGUGGCCAAUAAAUACAUAAAAAUAUGCUCAACAUCAAUAAUUACCAGGGAAAUGCAAAUUAAAAGCACCGUGAGAUACCACUACACACCGAUGAGAAUGGCUAAAAUCAAAAAAGACCAACCAGCACUUUGGGAGGCCGAGGUGGGCGGAUCAUGAGGUCAGGAGUACGAGACUAGCCUGACCAACAUGGUGAAACCUCGUCUCUACUAAAAAUACAAAAAAUAGCUGGGGGUGGUGGCAUGAGCCUGUAAUUCCAGCUACUCAGGAGGGUGAGGCAGGAGAAUCGCUUGAAUCCAGGAGGCAGAAAUUGCAGUGAGCCGAGAUCAUGCCCUUGCACUCUAGCCUGGGCGAAAGAGUGAGACUCUGUCUUAAAAAAAAAAAAAAAAAAAAAAAAAAAAAGAACCAAUCAUACCAAGUGUUGGUGAGGAUGUAGAGCACCUGCAACUCUCAUACCCUUCCAAUGGGAAUGCAAAAUGGUACAGGCCAUGUUGGAAAACACAUUGGCCAUUUUUCGUAAAGUUAAUCAUACACUUUUCAUACUACUCAGCAAUUGUACUCACAAAUAUUUACUUAAGAGCAAUGAAAACAUAUGUCCAUACAAGGACCUGUACAUGAAUGUUCAGAGCAACUUCAUUCAUUUUAAUGAAAAACUAGAAACACCCCAAAUGCCCAUGAACUGGUGAAUCAAGAGGCAAAUUUUGGUAUAACCACAGCGGCGUACUCCUCAGUGAUACAUGCAACAGCAGGAUGAAUCUUAACAUCACCCUAAAUGAAAGAUGUAGGACGCUGAAGACUAUAUACUAUAUAAUGCUAAUUAUAUAAAAUGUUUUAAAAAUAAUCCAUAACUAUAGUGACAGAAAACAUUAAGGGUUGCCAAGAGCCAGGGUGGGGAGACAGGAUUGAUAGCAAACGGGCACAAGAGAGCUUUUUGAGAUGAUGCAAACGUCUGUUAUCUUGAUGUUGGUAGUGAUUACAUGCUGUAUAUGUUUACCAAAAGUUAUUGAACUGUAUACUCAAAAUGCUUAAGUGUUAUUGUAUAUAAUUAAACCUCAGUAAAGCUGUUAAAAAACAUGAAUACAUUAUCUAGUUAAGGCCACAGGAAACAUCCAAGAGGACUUAGCUUGACUCAGCUCGAGGUCUGGAAUUAGGGAAGGGGAUGGGAAUCGCUCAGCUUCAUACAGGGCAGCUAGCAAGUAACCCUUAUGGUAGGGGGCCACCUGAAUAGGAGAGAAACCAAGAACGGGAACCUAUGGAUCAGAGGCUCAAUCAAUAAGGCAAAGGAAAAAUGAACGAAUGAAUGACUGGAGAGACAGGAAAAGAGAACAAGAUAGACAUAGGCAGAGAAGAGAGAAACUGGGUGGGAAAGAAGACAGGCAGAACAAGACAGAAAGGAAAGCCCCACCCGGUAAGUGAAGAUAACCAGACAGAUGGCCAGCUUCUGAGGAGGCAAGUCUGCUCCUGUCACUGGGAUCGAAGAAGGAGGCCCAGCCUUUCUGAGUGAAUGGGCUUGGCCCUGGUUCCUUUCCCUGGGGUCAAUUGUGACCUCAGGUGCCUGUGCCACAAGGAGUUUGUGAGGCUGGAUGGGAGGUUCUCCACCAACUGAUGCUCCCUGGCACAGGGUUCCGAGUCCUGAGCAAGAUCAGGGAAAUGACUCAUUUAAAAGAAGUCUUUAUCAACCACAGCAGAAUCCACAGCUAUAUGGCUUCUGGGAAUUUCCAGGUUUUCAGGUGCUAAGUGAGGGAGGAAGAGGGUAUAAAGCCUCCUGGCACAGAGUUGCUGGCAAUGCUCUGCCCUGCUGGCCCUGCUGCCUUUACCAUCAGCCACUCAGGUAUAGAAAAUGCAGCUACCUCUUAGGAGUCCAGAGAGGAGGUCUAACUUAGGACUCAGGCCAGUGGCUCUACCAUCUACCAGAACCUGUGAUCUUGGACAAGUGAUUGAAUUCUGUGGAUCCUCCAUUUCUUCAAAAUCUAUAAAAUGGGGCAAUAAUGGUAUUUCUCUCUUAGAGUUGUUAUGAGGGUUAAAUAAAGUAAUCCAUAU